GGAGAGGUCGCAUAGCUGGCCGAGUGCACGCGCCUCGAAAGCGCGCAGGCGAAUAGCCUCGUGGGUUCGAAUCCCACCCUCUCCG
RNAcentral lists this transfer RNA (85 nucleotides) under Chloroflexota bacterium. RNAcentral's name for it is "Chloroflexi bacterium (groundwater metagenome) tRNA-Ser". It matches the Rfam family "tRNA". From Rfam's summary of the family: Transfer RNA (tRNA) molecules are approximately 80 nucleotides in length. Their secondary structure includes four short double-helical elements and three loops (D, anti-codon, and T loops). Further hydrogen bonds mediate the characteristic L-shaped molecular structure. tRNAs have two regions of fundamental functional importance: the anti-codon, which is responsible for specific mRNA codon recognition, and the 3' end, to which the tRNAs corresponding amino acid is attached (by aminoacyl-tRNA synthetases). tRNAs cope with the degeneracy of the genetic code in two manners: having more than one tRNA (with a specific anti-codon) for a particular amino acid; and 'wobble' base-pairing, i.e. permitting non-standard base-pairing at the 3rd anti-codon position. Lineage: Bacteria; Bacillati; Chloroflexota. The record is from RNAcentral.